This 650-nucleotide ribosomal RNA is filed under the name Klebsiella pneumoniae. RNAcentral describes it as "partial 23S ribosomal RNA". It matches the Rfam family "Bacterial large subunit ribosomal RNA", at positions 1 to 444 of the family's 2925-position model. The record is from RNAcentral. Lineage: Bacteria; Pseudomonadati; Pseudomonadota; Gammaproteobacteria; Enterobacterales; Enterobacteriaceae.
GGGUUGUGAGGUUAAGCGACUAAGCGUACACGGUGGAUGCCCUGGCAGUCAGAGGCGAUGAAGGACGUGCUAAUCUGCGAAAAGCGUCGGUAAGGUGAUAUGAACCGUUAUAACCGGCGAUGUCCGAAUGGGGAAACCCAGUGUGAUUCGUCACACUAUCGUUAACUGAAUACAUAGGUUAACGAGGCGAACCGGGGGAACUGAAACAUCUAAGUACCCCGAGGAAAAGAAAUCAACCGAGAUUCCCCCAGUAGCGGCGAGCGAACGGGGAGCAGCCCAGAGUCUGAAUCAGCUUGUGUGUUAGUGGAACGGUCUGGAAAGCGUCGGUAAGGUGAUAUGAACCGUUACAGCCGGCGAUGUCCGAAUGGGGAAACCCAGUGCAAUUCGUUGCACUAUCGUUAACUGAAUACAUAGGUUAACGAGGCGAACCGGGGGAACUGAAACAUCUAAGUACCCCGAGGAAAAGAAAUCAACCGAGAUUCCCCCAGUAGCGGCGAGCGAACGGGGAGCAGCCCAGAGUCUGAAUCAGCUUGUGUGUUAGUGGAACGGUCUGGAAAGUCCGACGGUACAGGGUGAUAGUCCCGUACACCAAAAUGCACAGGUUGUGAACUCGAAGAGUAGGGCGGGACACGUGGUAUCCUGUCUGAAUA